GAUGAACGCUGGCGGCGUGCUUAACACAUGCAAGUCGAACGAUGAAGCCCAGCUUGCUGGGUGGAUUAGUGGCGAACGGGUGAGUAACACGUGAGUAACCUGCCCUUAACUCUGGGAUAAGCCUGGGAAACUGGGUCUAAUACCGGAUAGGAGCGUCCACCGCAUGGUGGGUGUUGGAAAGAUUUAUCGGUUUUGGAUGGACUCGCGGCCUAUCCGCUUGUUGGUGAGGUAAUGGCUCACCAAGGCGACGACGGGUAGCCGGCCGGAGAGGGGGACCGGCCACACUGGGACUGAGACACGGCCCAGACUCCUACGGGAGGCAGCAGUGGGGAAUAUUGCACAAUGGGCGCAAGCCUGAUGCAGCGACGCCGCGUGAGGGAUGACGGCCUUCGGGUUGUAAACCUCUUUCAGUAGGGAAGAAGCGAAAGUGACGGUACCUGCAGAAGAAGCACCGGCUAACUACGUG
This 466-nucleotide ribosomal RNA is filed under the name uncultured bacterium. RNAcentral's name for it is "partial 16S ribosomal RNA". It matches the Rfam family "Bacterial small subunit ribosomal RNA", at positions 28 to 507 of the family's 1533-position model. The record is from RNAcentral.